ACAGAACCUAUUCUCUGGGGAAGAACUGACAUAGGAGACGUGACUAAGUUGCAGUUGACACAUGCAACCUCAAAGAGAAAAGUUUGAGGAAAUCACUUCAAGGACAAAAAAUUGCAAUGUAAAGAGAAUUAUUUAUCUCCAAAUUCCAGAUUACCCCCCUGCCCAACCCCUGCCAGCAGCACCGUCCACAUGGUUUCUCAUUUAGUUUUGUGUUAGUUUAACAAAGUAGACUCUGCAAUCUGGAUAAAAUAGUAAGUCACCUCAGAUGGAUCUGAGAACGCUGUCUGGGCUUGGUACCAAGAGCUGGUAUUUCACAGCAGCGACCGCCUCACAGACGAGCUGUGGGAAGCAGGAGGGAGACUCUCUCUUAGGGUGCCACUACUAUGGAGACACAGCUGGGCUGAACAAGAUUUGCUUCAAACGACAACAAGAGAGACAGAAAGUAUCUGGUUCAACCGCUGCCCGAGCAGGCAGGCACCAGAAGAGCUAGCAGCCAAUCCGGCCAUGCUCGAAGCCAGCUCUGCAGCUCAGCCAAUCAGUGACAUCAUUGGUGAGAAACUCAUUUACAUCAUGCAGUAAUGAACUUUGUUUAACAUAGACUUCCCCCUU
This 609-nucleotide long non-coding RNA is filed under the name Homo sapiens (human). RNAcentral describes it as "non-protein coding MIR99AHG:39". The record is from RNAcentral. Lineage: Eukaryota; Metazoa; Chordata; Mammalia; Primates; Hominidae.